Molecule: long non-coding RNA, 530 nt
Filed under: Sorghum bicolor (sorghum)
Lineage: Eukaryota; Viridiplantae; Streptophyta; Magnoliopsida; Poales; Poaceae
Description: long non-coding RNA (SBIC_LNC016707)
Source: RNAcentral
UAUUUUCUGUAGACUUAGUUUUUUUUUAAAAAAUUGUUACAGAUAUACUUAAUGGUAUUCUUUUUUACACUGAGGUGUGCUACCGUGCAAUUAUUUUCCCUUGGGUUAAUUGCGUGUCAACAUCCCGGUACUCAAACACAUAAAAGAGUGCAUUUUAGCCUAGAGCCGUGUGAUGCAGCUCGAUUCCUGUAAGAACCGAGGACGAUCCCCGCAUCUCGAAGGAGUUGGUGUGAGUUGCACGAACUCAGCUGACCAAGGACGAAGUUAUUCAAAAAAAAAAAAGAACACUGGCCAAGGGACACGAGAACUCUCCAAUUCCGCCCAUCCAGGCAUGUCAUAGGUAGGAGAGCAUCUUCUAUAUUUUAUUUCUCAAAAUACGUUGCUUGACAACUCUUAAAUUAGUAUAGGAAGGGAAAAAAAGUAAUCUCUAAGAGUUUUCUAUAUUUUUAUAUGGUUUGUAUCAGAAACUCUAAAUUUAUUUUCUAUAUACGUUAUAUACGUUAGUCCUUUUCUCUUUCACUUUUCUCACC